RNAcentral lists this ribosomal RNA (406 nucleotides) under uncultured bacterium. RNAcentral describes it as "bacterial SSU rRNA". It matches the Rfam family "Bacterial small subunit ribosomal RNA", at positions 988 to 1393 of the family's 1533-position model. The record is from RNAcentral.
GCGCUCUCGAACCUAGAGAUAGGGCUUUCCCCUUCGGGGGACAGAGUGACAGGUGGUGCAUGGUUGUCGUCAGCUCGUGUCGUGAGAUGUUGGGUUAAGUCCCGCAACGAGCGCAACCCUUGAUCUUAGUUGCCAGCAUUCAGUUGGGCACUCUAAGAUGACUGCCGGUGACAAACCGGAGGAAGGUGGGGAUGACGUCAAAUCAUCAUGCCCCUUAUGACCUGGGCUACACACGUGCUACAAUGGACGGUACAAAGGGCAGCAAGACCGCGAGGUUUAGCCAAUCCCAUAAAACCGUUCUCAGUUCGGAUUGUAGGCUGCAACUCGCCUACAUGAAGCUGGAAUCGCUAGUAAUCGCGGAUCAGCAUGCCGCGGUGAAUACGUUCCCGGGUCUUGUACACACCGA